Molecule: unclassified non-coding RNA, 450 nt
Filed under: Hevea brasiliensis (rubber tree)
Lineage: Eukaryota; Viridiplantae; Streptophyta; Magnoliopsida; Malpighiales; Euphorbiaceae
Source: RNAcentral
CGUAGGUCCAUGUAAUUAAUUGGAAAGGGAUCUUUUGGUGAUUUAUAUUUUUGUGAAAUUUGUCAAUGAGCGACCAUUUGCAGUUACUAGGUGGUAACACGUAAGUCCAUAUAUGGACAGCACAUGACUUAGAUGUUGUAUUUUGCCUUGGUUGAUUAGACUUUGUGAGUUGAAUGUAGCUAGACAUGCAAAGCAGGUUUCAUAGCUGUGUUUUUGUUUGGGACAAGUACUAUGAUCCCUGGUGUUGCAUCACAACUUGCAGGCUUGGAAGAAUAAAAUUUUGGAUUAUGUUUAAUACAUAUUUAGGUUUGUGACUGAAGUUGUGUUGAGUUUUAUUAGAUUUUCAUAAUUUCUCAAACCAAUUUGUUUAGAGUGACCAAAAUAUUUGUAUUAAUUUUUUAGGAAAAUUUACAAUUUGGUUCUUAGAUUUUGCCCUAUAUUACAGUUUAG